Molecule: ribosomal RNA, 433 nt
Filed under: uncultured bacterium
Lineage: Bacteria
Description: partial 16S ribosomal RNA
Rfam family: Bacterial small subunit ribosomal RNA
Source: RNAcentral
AACGAACGCUGGCGGCAUGCCUAACACAUGCAAGUCGAACGAGACCUUCGGGUCUAGUGGCGCACGGGUGCGUAACGCGUGGGAACCUGCCCUUAGGUUCGGAAUAACUCCCCGAAUGGGGUGCUAAUACCGGAUAAUGUCUUCGGACCAAAGGUUUAUCGCCUUUGGAUGGGCCCGCGUUGGAUUAGCUAGUUGGUAGGGUAAAAGCCUACCACGGCGACGAUCCAUAGCUGGUCUGAGAGGAUGAUCAGCCACACUGGGACUGAGACACGGCCCAGACUCCUACGGGAGGGAGCAGUGGGGAAUAUAGGAAAGUGGGGGGAGGCCUGAAGCAGCAAGGCCGCGUAAGUGAUGAAGGCCGUGGGGUUGUAAAGCUCUUUUACCCGGGAUGAUAAUGACGGUACCGGGAGAAUAAGCUCCGGCUAACUCCGUG